GUGCUUGCUUUGACAGCGCAUAUAUUAAAAUUGGAAUUCUACAAAUAAGAUUUGCAUGGCCCCUGUGCAAGGAUGACACACAAACUUGUGAAGCAUCCCAUACUUUU
RNAcentral lists this small nuclear RNA (107 nucleotides) under Microtus ochrogaster (prairie vole). The record is from RNAcentral. Lineage: Eukaryota; Metazoa; Chordata; Mammalia; Rodentia; Cricetidae.